Molecule: ribosomal RNA, 503 nt
Filed under: Pseudomonas citronellolis
Lineage: Bacteria; Pseudomonadati; Pseudomonadota; Gammaproteobacteria; Pseudomonadales; Pseudomonadaceae
Description: bacterial SSU rRNA
Rfam family: Bacterial small subunit ribosomal RNA
Source: RNAcentral
AUUGAACGCUGGCGGCAGGCUUAACACAUGCAAGUGGAGCGGGGGAAGGUAGCUUGCUACUGGACCUAGCGGCGGACGGGUGAGUAAUGCUUAGCGGAAUCUGCCUAUUAGUGGGGGACAACAUCUCGAAAGGGGUGCUAAUACGCCGCAUACGUCCUACGGGAGAAAGCAGGGGAUCUUCGGACCUUGCGCUAAUAGAUGGAGCCUAAGUCGGGAUUAGCUAGUUGGUGGGGUAAAGGCCUACCAAGGCGACGAUCUGUAGCGGGCGGUCUGAGAGGAUGAUCCGCCACACUGGGACUGAGACACGGCCCAGACUCCUACGGGAGGCAGCAGUGGGGAAUAUAUGGACAAUGGGCGGGAACCCUGAUCCAGCCAUGCCGCGUGUGUGAUAGAAGGCUUAUGGUUUGUAUAAGCACUUAUAAGCGAGCGAGGAGGUAACUCUAGUUAUACCUAGGGAUAGUGGACGUUACUCGCAGAAUAAGCACGGUACUCUGUGCACACGG